Molecule: ribosomal RNA, 431 nt
Filed under: uncultured bacterium
Lineage: Bacteria
Description: partial 16S ribosomal RNA
Rfam family: Bacterial small subunit ribosomal RNA
Source: RNAcentral
GGGGGGGGGGGGGGGGGGGGGGGGGGGGUGGGGGGCGGGCGCCCCGGGGGGGGUGGGGCAGGCGGGUGGGUGGCGCGUGGGGAGGGCCGCUUCUCUUCGGGCUGGCGGCGGGAAACUGGAAUUAAUACCGAGUGUGCCCCUUGGGGGCACGGUUUGUCGGAUAAGGAUCGGCCCGCCGUGGCUUAGCUAGUUGGUGGGGUAGAGGCGUACCAAGGCGACGUCCCGUAGCUGGUCUGGGAGGAUGAUCCGCCACAUUGGGCCUGGGACACGGCCCAAACGCCUACGGGAGGCAGCAGUGGCGAAUAUUGGACGAUGCGCGCAAGCCUGAUCCAGCCAUGCCGCGUGAGUGAUGAAGGCCUUAGGGUUGUAAAGCUCUGUCACCGGAGAAGAUAAUGACGGUAUCCGGAGAAGAAGCCCCGGCGAACUUCGUG